Molecule: ribosomal RNA, 493 nt
Filed under: uncultured bacterium
Lineage: Bacteria
Description: bacterial SSU rRNA
Rfam family: Bacterial small subunit ribosomal RNA
Source: RNAcentral
UCAACGCUGGCGGCGUGCCUAACACAUGCAAGUCGAGCGCGAAAGUGGGCUUCGGCUCACGAGUAGAGCGGCGAACGGGUGAGUAACGCGUGGGUGAUCUACCUCCGAGUGGGGAAUAACACCGGGAAACUGGUGCUAAUACCGCAUGACAUCCUCGGUUCGUUCCGAGGAUCAAAGCCGGGGACCGCAAGGCCUGGCGCUUGGAGAGGAGCCCGCGUCCGAUUAGCUUGUUGGCGGGGUAAUGGCCCACCAAGGCUUCGAUCGGUAGCCGGCCUGAGAGGGCGGACGGCCACACUGGGACUGAGACACGGCCCAGACUCCUACGGGAGGCAGCAGUGGGGAAUUUUUCGCAAUGGGGGAAACCCUGACGAAGCAACGCCGCGUGGAGGAUGAAGGCCCUCGGGUCGUAAACUCCUGUCGAUCGGGAAGAAUGCACUCGGCCUAAUACGUCGUGGUGUUGACUGUACCGGUGGAGGAAGCCACGGCUAACUCU